CCUGGCCUUCUCCAUGCUCGGAAUAACUUCCUGCAGCGACCAACAGGCUAAAGAGGGGGAAGGUCUGGAGGUUGGAAAGAGGACUGGAAUCUGAUUGGGGUUCCAACAAAUCUGUAACACCGCUGGGAACGACUGGGUCCCCUUUAGGUCCUUUAGGACAGCGUUUGAAAUCUUGCUUUCCCCUGCAGGGAUCCAGCACCGGCUCCUCCUCCGGCAACCACGGUGGGAGCGGCGGAGGAAAUGGACAUAAACCCGGGAAUUUUAAAUCCAAGCUGGGUUUCAUCAACUGGGAUGCCAUAAACAAGGACCAGAGAAGCUCUCGCAUCCCGUGACCUCCAGACAAGGAGCCACCAGAUUGGAUGGGAGCCCCCACACUCCCUCCUUAAAACACCACCCUCUCAUCACUAAUCUCAGCCCUUGCCCUUGAAAUAAACCUUAGCUGCCCCACA
This 449-nucleotide long non-coding RNA is filed under the name Homo sapiens (human). RNAcentral describes it as "non-protein coding lnc-DMKN-1:4". Lineage: Eukaryota; Metazoa; Chordata; Mammalia; Primates; Hominidae. The record is from RNAcentral.